GCUCCUUACAGACCAACUAGGUUUGUUCUGGUAUAAGCUUCCAUGUGUCUGCACACUUCUUCAGAUACAUAUACACACAAAAGCUUAUACCAAAACAAACUUAGUUGGUCUAUAAGGUGC
This 120-nucleotide microRNA precursor is filed under the name Podarcis lilfordi (Lilford's wall lizard). The record is from RNAcentral. Lineage: Eukaryota; Metazoa; Chordata; Lepidosauria; Squamata; Lacertidae.